RNAcentral lists this transfer RNA (66 nucleotides) under Ips calligraphus. RNAcentral describes it as "tRNA-Asn". The record is from RNAcentral. Lineage: Eukaryota; Metazoa; Arthropoda; Insecta; Coleoptera; Curculionidae.
UUAGCUAAAACCAAAAUUAAGCGGUAUUCCACUGUUAAUGGAAAAAUUGGAGAUUUCCUAGUUAAA